RNAcentral lists this transfer RNA (69 nucleotides) under Psittacula krameri (Rose-ringed parakeet). RNAcentral's name for it is "tRNA-Thr". It matches the Rfam family "tRNA". From Rfam's summary of the family: Transfer RNA (tRNA) molecules are approximately 80 nucleotides in length. Lineage: Eukaryota; Metazoa; Chordata; Aves; Psittaciformes; Psittacidae. The record is from RNAcentral. RNAcentral also lists the same sequence under 1 other name.
ACUCUAAUAGUUUAAAAAAAACAUUGGUCUUGUAAACCAAAGAACGAAGAUCUACCCCUUCUUAGAGUU